AAGCGACGUUCGUUUGGGAUGCGGCGGCUGUCUAUGCCCCAGCCACCGUGCAGGUUCGAAACCUGCCGUCGCUUU
Molecule: transfer RNA, 75 nt
Filed under: Rosistilla oblonga
Lineage: Bacteria; Pseudomonadati; Planctomycetota; Planctomycetia; Pirellulales; Pirellulaceae
Description: tRNA-His
Source: RNAcentral